RNAcentral lists this ribosomal RNA (486 nucleotides) under uncultured bacterium. Its description in RNAcentral is "partial 16S ribosomal RNA". It matches the Rfam family "Bacterial small subunit ribosomal RNA", at positions 30 to 507 of the family's 1533-position model. The record is from RNAcentral.
AUUGAACGCUGGCGGCAUGCCUUACACAUGCAAGUCGAACGGCAGCACGGGUGCUUGCACCUGGUGGCGAGUGGCGAACGGGUGAGUAAUACAUCGGAACAUGUCCUGUAGUGGGGGAUAGCCCGGCGAAAGCCGGAUUAAUACCGCAUACGAUCUACGGAUGACAGCGGGGGACCUGCAGGCCUCGCGCUAUAGGGUUGGCAGAUGGCUGAUUAGCUCGUUGGUGGGGUAAAGGCCUACCAAGGCGACGAUCAGUAGCUGGUCUGAGAGGACGACCAGCCACACUGGGACUGAGACACGGCCCAGACUCCUACGGGAGGCAGCAGUGGGGAAUUUUGGACAAUGGGCGAAAGCCUGAUCCAGCAAUGCCGCGUGUGUGAAGAAGGCCUUCGGGUUGUAAAGCACUUUUGUCCGGAAAGAAAUCCUUGGCCCUAAUACGGUCGGGGGAUGACGGUACCGGAAGAAUAAGCACCGGCUAACUACGUG